UAUCUCUACCCAGGAUACAGUUAGGCAAGAUGCUGACUCUCUCUUCCCAGGGUCCAGUCAGACCAGAUGGUGACUCUCUCUCUCCAGUGUGGUCAGGCAAGAUGCCGACUCUCUCUUCCUGGGAAACAAAUUAGAUAGCAAUGAUGACUAUGAGGGCUGCAAAUUUCAGCCAAGGCCAUCAUCUUUGAUCGGUGAAAACAAAGGGGCACUGUCAGAGUUCGUCCAUUGCCCCCAGAUCCCAGCCAAAUCCUAUCUCCAUGACAGCACAUUGUGCAAGGCACAGGCAAUAAGCAGACGAUGAUGACAAUAAUUACGCAAUUGGAAAAGUAGCAGAAUCAGUUUAACAGAGGAACAGUGCACAAACUAGAUCUGAACAUAGGCAAUAUCAGAACUGCACUCAGUCGACGCACAAGAAUGUCAGUGCUGACAGUGGGCUGGAGGCCAACGCCUGGAAAAUGGUUGUUGGGCACU
Long non-coding RNA from Carcharodon carcharias (great white shark), 471 nucleotides. RefSeq lists it as uncharacterized. The record is from RefSeq and is a predicted model, not a curated record. NCBI's taxonomy places the organism in Eukaryota, Metazoa, Chordata, Chondrichthyes, Lamniformes, Lamnidae. The transcript has 3 exons.